RNAcentral lists this small nucleolar RNA (107 nucleotides) under Olea europaea subsp. europaea. RNAcentral describes it as "Plant small nucleolar RNA R71". It matches the Rfam family "Plant small nucleolar RNA R71". From Rfam's summary of the family: R71 is a member of the C/D box family of snoRNAs containing the C (UGAUGA) and D (CUGA) box motifs. Multiple nearly identical copies of this snoRNA have been identified in Arabidopsis, and it is thought to function as a 2'-O-ribose methylation guide for 18S ribosomal RNA. Lineage: Eukaryota; Viridiplantae; Streptophyta; Magnoliopsida; Lamiales; Oleaceae. The record is from Rfam by way of RNAcentral.
AUAUCAUGAUUUGGACACUUCCUCAUCAACUCUUUAAAUUUGUUCCACACCUCGUGAUAGCUCUCCCCAUCUCUCUGCUGGAAAGUUUAAGUUUCUAGUAUGAUUUU